This 2319-nucleotide unclassified non-coding RNA is filed under the name Ixodes scapularis (black-legged tick). Its description in RNAcentral is "uncharacterized LOC120848329, transcript variant X3". The record is from RNAcentral. Lineage: Eukaryota; Metazoa; Arthropoda; Arachnida; Ixodida; Ixodidae.
UCCCCAAGAAAGAUCGCAAGCGCCGAAAGGGCACGAACGUCGAUCCUACGAUGCAAGACCCAGUGCCGUCGUCGUCGCUACCGCCACCGCAGCCAACUCGCGCUUCUUCAAGUCGACGACGUCGAAGGGUAAAUAAGACUUUACCAAUCGUCCUAGACGUGAACAUCGUCAAUGCCAUGUUCAGGGCAAAGCGAGUUAUCACCAGAAGCGCUAAACAACCGACGAGUACGCUACCGAUUCACGAAGAAUUGCCGGAUGAUUGGGACAUGUUAACGUUCAAACUCGUGCUACCGGGGAGCGUCAUCAAGAAGCUGAUUCACUUGACGGUCUUCUACGCAGUACAUGCCACCGAAUCUGACGAGUUAAUCAAACCUUAUUUGCCAUACCUGGAAGUGAAGGCUGUGAAGGACAUUCAGGAGAAACCCGUUGCGCUAGAUUUAAUCACCCUGCUUAAGAAAACGAUCGACGAGCUAAAUACAAAAAUACUACAGCCACUAACUAGAGAGUCUGACAGGAGUAAAUUGUUCUACUAUCGUUCCGGAACAGACAUUGCCUCAAGAGCGCAUACGACCCUACAACCGAUCAUACUAACCACAUUUUCAUACGAGCCGACUUGGAGUAUGGGGUUCAACCUUUUUAACGGAUACACGACUCCGUUGUAUUAUCCCUAUCACUACACCGUUUCCAAGGGCCACGGCCAAACAAUCGGCCGCAGAGCCCUACUGGAAUACUUCCUCAUUCCGGCGCUUACUUCGUACGAAGUUCGUAGCAACAUUAGGGACGUACUCAUCAAAACACCAUCCGACCAACAAGACGCUAUCGUCGAGCGAGUAAUCAAAACGAUUAAAGCGCUUUGCACCUUACCCGUAUUCCAAUGUGAUGUAAACCUCUGGGAGAGUGUGGGUAAAUUUGUAGAAAAGCAAAAGGAUGAUUUGGAAGCGAUGAAAGAGCUGAUUAGCCGGCUCUGUGCUCACCCUAACAUCUGGGAGAACCCACAGGCGUACGCAACGGGAGUACAAACUGCAAAUUCUCGUGUGCCACGAGAGACGCUGAGAGAGUUUCUAACAAACAUUUUUUUUUCGCGUCAAAACACGGGUAACCAGCAUGACACUUCCCUGUUAGAAGCGUCGUUCUUUUUUUACGUUACUUAUAAAGUGAUUAAGUUCAAAAAACCCAUGGUCUGCACGUUCAUAAUCGAAUGUACGAAUGUGGACGUGCUCGCCGCGUUUUACAUGCGCAUGCGCGCUAUAUUGGACCCAUACAACAUGAAGUUGAACACCGCAGUUUCAUUGUUCAUGGUUAGACACAACAUCGAAAGUAUCACGGACGCAAACUUAGGCACAGUGAACGCUACUAUGAAACGCGCACAGGCUGGAAAGCGCACAGCCAUAGGGUUUUCCCACGUGAGUCGAUACACGCCCCCAAAUUCCAAAAUUACAAGCCGUGGGAAUAGGAAGAUCUACAUUUUCCAUCUCACACACUCCUGUGAAUCGAGUAAGGAGGAUGCGUUUGCAAAUCGAUUUCUGAAUCCACAAGCAUUUGCCGACAUGUUUAGCACGCUGCUAAGCAUAUACAGUGAAAAGAACAUGGACAUCACAAAUUCGACAAUACACGAGUGGUCUAAUCGAUACCUCAGUGAAGUCUUCGAUUCGGUCCACAUUUUCAACAAAAUAAUCCCAUCGAGUUCUAACUUUCCUGCCACUUCGAACCCCCGACGACGCCGACACUCUGAAAUGGACCAAGAAGAUGUCGGCGACAUGAUCGAAGCGAAAAUCCAACACAUGACUGAUUCGACGAAUCCAUGGGCCAACGGAGAAGAAGCGGUGGCGGCAGAAGAUGCGCAAUGGCUGAGUACUCUGGACAGCGCAGCAUCUCCGUCGCGUCAGUACUUCACCCAUACCACUACGGUUCCAUCAGAAUGCCCUGUCCCCAACGAGCGACAAGUCGUUGCCGAAGACAAAGGCGAAGGGGUGGAGAAAUCUGUUCACCUUCAAGAUGAACCAGCCUGGCGAACUCCCGUGACGCCAAAGGAUGUAUCCUAAUCCACCCCACGCGGGACACCCAAUCCAGUGAUCGUCAAAGAACCCCGGUCUAUUCAUACAUCAGCCGUGAAAAGGAGGAGCACACGUAAUAAUAUAUACAACAGCCCGCAGCAAUUCCGAGGGAAACGGACGACGAGAAACCACCUCCUUCCAAGAAAAGAAGAAGAAUUAUAAGCCCGGGGAUUCACGAAGAUGGUCAAGUUCCUGGACUUCAAGAACAAAAAUGUGUGUCAAAGAAAAAUUGCCUGAUGUUAUUGAACAAUAAAAAAAAAUUAAA